ACCAGACUCCUACGGGAGGCAGCAGUGGGGAAUAUUGCACAAUGGGCGAAAGCCUGAUGCAGCGACGCCGCGUGAGUGAAGAAGUAUUUCGGUAUGUAAAGCUCUAUCAGCAGGGAAGAAAAUGACGGUACCUGACUAAGAAGCCCCGGCUAACUACGUGCCAGCAGCCGCGGUAAUACGUAGGGGGCAAGCGUUAUCCGGAAUUACUGGGUGUAAAGGGUGCGUAGGUGGCAUGGUAAGUCAGAAGUGAAAGCCCGGGGCUUAACCCCGGGACUGCUUUUGAAACUGCCAUGCUGGAGUGCAGGAGAGGUAAGCGGAAUUCCUAGUGUAGCGGUGAAAUGCGUAGAUAUUAGGAGGAACACCAGUGGCGAAGGCGGCUUACUGGACUGUCACUGACACUGAUGCACGAAAGCGUGGGGAGCAAACAGGAUUAGAUACCCGCGUAU
RNAcentral lists this ribosomal RNA (446 nucleotides) under uncultured bacterium. Its description in RNAcentral is "bacterial SSU rRNA". It matches the Rfam family "Bacterial small subunit ribosomal RNA", at positions 330 to 793 of the family's 1533-position model. The record is from RNAcentral.